GGGGAAUCUUGCACAAUGGGGGAAACCCUGAUGCAGCGACGCCGCGUGAGUGAUGAAGCCCUUCGGGGUGUAAAGCUCUUUCGACAGGAACGAUAAUGACGGUACCUGAAGAAGAAGCUGCGGCUAACUACGUGCCAGCAGCCGCGGUAAUACGUAGGCAGCAAGCGUUGUUCGGAAUUACUGGGCGUAAAGAGUGCGUAGGUGGUUGGCUAAGUUUGGUGUGAAAUCUCCCGGCUCAACUGGGAGGGUGCGCCGAAAACUGGCUAGCUAGAGUGUGGGAGAGGGACGUGGAAUUCCUGGUGUAGCGGUGAAAUGCGUAGAUAUCAGGAGGAACACCUGCGGUGUAGACGGCGUCCUGGACCAUUACUGACACUGAGGCACGAAAGCGUGGGGAGCAAAC
This 400-nucleotide ribosomal RNA is filed under the name uncultured bacterium. RNAcentral describes it as "bacterial SSU rRNA". It matches the Rfam family "Bacterial small subunit ribosomal RNA", at positions 356 to 773 of the family's 1533-position model. The record is from RNAcentral.